RNAcentral lists this ribosomal RNA (497 nucleotides) under uncultured bacterium. Its description in RNAcentral is "partial 16S ribosomal RNA". It matches the Rfam family "Bacterial small subunit ribosomal RNA", at positions 28 to 507 of the family's 1533-position model. The record is from RNAcentral.
GACGAACGCUGGCGGCGUGCUUAACACAUGCAAGUCGAACGGACAAGCGCCUUCCUUUUUGCUCUGUGUUGAGGAGUGGCGAACGGGUUAGUAACACGUGAGUAACCUUCUCCCUUCGUCUGGACAACCGCAUGAAAGAGUUGCUAAUAGAGAAUAUUCUGAGUCUGUCGGAUGAUGGGUCUGAGACGGACUUUGUGUCGGUUGUGGAUGGACUCGCGCUGUAUUAGCUAGUUGGUAGGGUAAUGGCGGACCAAGGCGGCGAUGAAGAGCCGACCUGAGAGGAGGGUCGGCGGCCACACUGGGGCGGAGACGUGGAGCAGACUCCGAGAGGAGGCAGCAGUGGAGAAUACUGCACAGUGGGAGCAAGCAUGAUGCAGCGACGCGGCGUGGGGGAUGGAGGUCUGAGGGUUGUGAACCUCUAUCGGGAGUGAAGCUAGCUUGCAUCGUUUGUGCGUGGGUUGACGGUAGCUGGAUAAGAAGCGCCGGCUAACUACGUG